UACAGAGGUCUCAAGCGUUGUUCGGAUUCAUUGGGCGUAAAGGGUGCGUAGGUGGCGACGUAAGUCGGGUGUGAAAUUUCGGAGCUUAACUCCGAAACUGCAUUCGAUACUGCCGUGCUUGAGGACUGGAGAGGAGACUGGAAUUUACGGUGUAGCGGUGAAAUGCGUAGAUAUCGGAAGGAAGACCAGUGGCGAAGGCGGGUCUCUGGACAGUUCCUGACGCUGAGGCACGAAGGUCAGGGGAGCAAACGGG
RNAcentral lists this ribosomal RNA (253 nucleotides) under uncultured bacterium. RNAcentral describes it as "partial 16S ribosomal RNA". It matches the Rfam family "Bacterial small subunit ribosomal RNA", at positions 524 to 776 of the family's 1533-position model. The record is from RNAcentral.